This 279-nucleotide ribosomal RNA is filed under the name uncultured bacterium. RNAcentral describes it as "partial 16S ribosomal RNA". It matches the Rfam family "Bacterial small subunit ribosomal RNA", at positions 78 to 353 of the family's 1533-position model. The record is from RNAcentral.
GCUUGCUUUCUUUGCUGGCGACCGGCGCACGGGUGAGUAACACGUAUCCAACCUACCCUUUACUCGGGGAUAGCCUUUCGAAAGAAAGAUUAAUACCCGAUGCAUAAUGAUUCCGCAUGGUUUCAUUAUUAAAGGAUUCCGGUAAAGGAUGGGGAUGCGUUCCAUUAGGUUGUUGGUGGGGUAACGGCCCACCAAGCCUUCGAUGGAUAGGGGUUCUGAGAGGAAGGUCCCCCACAUUGGAACUGAGACACGGUCCAAACUCCUACGGGAGGCAGCAUG